Molecule: ribosomal RNA, 250 nt
Filed under: uncultured bacterium
Lineage: Bacteria
Description: partial 16S ribosomal RNA
Rfam family: Bacterial small subunit ribosomal RNA
Source: RNAcentral
UACGUAGGUGGCGAGCGUUGUCCGGAAUUAUUGGGCGUAAAGGGCGCGUAGGCGGAAAGAUAAGUCUGACUUAAAAGUGCGGGGCUCAACCCCGUGAGGGGUCGGAAACUAUCUUUCUUGAGUGCAGGAGAGGAAAGUGGAAUUCCCAGUGUAGCGGUGAAAUGCGUAGAUAUUGGGAGGAACACCAGUGGCGAAGGCGACUUUCUGGACUGUAACUGACGCUGAGGCGCGAAAGCCAGGGUAGUGAACG